GCAUAUCAUGAGCUUUAUACACUAUAAAAUGAAUAAAUUAUAUUCUAUUUGUUACACGCAAAGACAUAAAUAAAUGGCUAAAACUCUCCAAUUCGUGUAUUAUAUGAUUUUAUGUAUCUCCUUAUUUCUUGUUGCAAAAAACAUUAAUGCAAUACAUUGCAACGAUGUUAAUGAUUGUCCACCAGAUAUUUCGAAUCCCUUUGUAAGGUGCGAAUCGAACCGAUGUAUAUAUUCUAGAUUGGAACCACCUUUUGGUUGUUGAGUACGAGCCCUAGCAGAGUACAUUUACGCCAUGCAGAGAAGAAUAGUCCUUACACUAGGAAAAACUAUGCAAUAUACAUUUCACUAGAAUAUUCCAUAGUUUCUUUUUAGUUAUUGUAAGGGUAUCCAAUAAUUGUUAUAUUUUUAUUUAUUUUUGUUUUUAUAAUUUCAAGGACCUUGCAACUGUGGCUUUGUAUUCUAUGAUGUUGGUAAUAAAAUGAAUUAAGGCAAUAAAGAAUAUUAUAAUUA
This is a long non-coding RNA of Medicago truncatula (barrel medic), 510 nucleotides long. RefSeq lists it as uncharacterized. NCBI's taxonomy places the organism in Eukaryota, Viridiplantae, Streptophyta, Magnoliopsida, Fabales, Fabaceae. The record is from RefSeq and is a predicted model, not a curated record. The transcript has 2 exons.